GCGCGGUUGGUUAAAGUGGUAUAAUCUUCGCCUGCCACGCGAAGGGCCGGGGUUCGAUUCCCCGACCGCGCA
This is a transfer RNA of Absidia repens, 72 nucleotides long. It matches the Rfam family "tRNA". Rfam says of the family: Transfer RNA (tRNA) molecules are approximately 80 nucleotides in length. NCBI's taxonomy places the organism in Eukaryota, Fungi, Mucoromycota, Mucoromycetes, Mucorales, Cunninghamellaceae. The record is from Rfam.